AUACGUAGGGUGCGAGCGUUGUCCGGAAUUACUGGGCGUAAAGAGCUCGUAGGUGGUUUGUCGCGUCGUCUGUGAAAUUCCGGGGCUUAACUCCGGGCGUGCAGGCGAUACGGGCAUAACUUGAGUACUGUAGGGGAGACUGGAAUUCCUGGUGUAGCGGUGAAAUGCGCAGAUAUCAGGAGGAACGCCGGUGGCGAAGGCGGGUCUCUGGGCAGUAACUGACGCUGAGGAGCGAAAGCAUGGGUAGCGAACAGGAUUAGAUACCCUGGUAGUCCAUGCCGUAAACGGUGGGCGCUAGGUGUAGGGGUCUUCCACGACUUCUGUGCCGUAGCUAACGCAUUAAGCGCCCCGCCUGGGGAGUACGGCCGCAAGGCUAAAACUCAAAUGAAUUGACGGGG
RNAcentral lists this ribosomal RNA (398 nucleotides) under uncultured bacterium. RNAcentral describes it as "partial 16S ribosomal RNA". It matches the Rfam family "Bacterial small subunit ribosomal RNA", at positions 523 to 918 of the family's 1533-position model. The record is from RNAcentral.